UGUAACAGUGUUUAUGUGGUAUUAUUCCACUUGCCACAAAUGUCAGUGUAAUGGGGAAACAGCGCCCCCCCCUCUCGGUGUGGCUGGUUAGGUGAGGCUGGCUGCAGUAAUCGCUGCCAGUCUGCCGUAGCCAUACGAGAGGUGAGUUGUAUUGUUCCGCACACAAUAUAGCUAAGUAGUACAGACACAUAAAACAUGUUUGAUUAGCUGACGAGCACCGAGUGUAAUAAGUGCUUAGUGGACACAUGUCUAACAUCAGUUUUAUGUACUUUUCAUUUGUUUAUUAAUGUGUGAAACUGUAUGCUAAAGCGGAAUGCUAAUGAGAUGUUCUGCCGUAGUGUGCUGUGCGGAGUGGUGUAUGGCGAGCCUGUGCACUGAUAAUACACCGUUGUUUCCAUUCAGGUGACUGAGCAAUGGAGAAGCUGGAUGAUGUAACAGUAUCUGUCCUUAAAGUCCAGCUUUGUCCAGCCACUGGUAGGAUUUCUGGAUAUCAGCCACCUCCUCUAUCUGCCGGUGGUACAUACCGUGCAGGGUCCUGUCCUUCUAUGAUGGUUCCUCGUCUCCCUCCUCUUUCUUGGGUUUCUGCUGCCUGAGGUAUUCACUGAGCACUUGGUCAGUUGGGGCCAUCUUCCCAAUGUAUUCUUGGAUGAAUAGGAUGAGGGACCUAUGGAUUCUUCGCUGCAAGCAUUGACGAGCGCAUGCUUUUAACAUUGACCCGUGAUGAUCUGAGGGACCUUUUUUCUGGGCCUGAGCACUUUCUCAGAAGAAAACAUGUGUGGUCAAUAAUUCAUCCUGAGGAAGACCAUCCGCUACCACAGAAACCUGAAACAACUUCUUCACCCAGGGUAGUUGCAACAGGCCCUCCAACUGCUGAUGCUAAUGUAAGCCAGCUGAAAACCUUGCAGCUCCCCAGUCCUCCGGAAUAUGUUCUGUACACCGACAGUGAGUUGGAGCAAUGCCGAAAGAGUUACCUGGAGUUGGCCUGCUCCGGCAGGGAACAGGCAUGCGUCAUGUCAAAAGAACUGAGAUGCAGAUUGGUGAGAAAUACAAUCACAAGUAUGGUGUCCCUUUUGAGAGCAAGCCAAGGCCAAAUGGAGCGAUACCCCUCUAAGACCGAAAUCACUGCAAUGGCUAAAAAAGUUGUGGAAUAUUAUCCUAUGCUGCAGGAUAAUGAUGCAAGCGUAAAACACGAGAGCAUUAAUGCCAAGUUACAAAAAAGGCUGCAAAAUAUGAAAACCCCAGUAAAAAGGCAAGGACCAACACCGGAGAGGGGACGGCCCAAGAGAAGGCUCACUGACCUCUACCCAAGGGAUGAAGAAGCUGAUGAUGAAGAUGCUGAUCGCAGUUCUUCCAGUGGUGCAUCUACUCUGUUAUCACCUGUCAGAAAUUCUGACAAUGCCUCCACUUCAUCUGACAAGGAUAGUCGGCAAAUACAAGCAAGACAUUACAAAACAUUACAAGAAAUGUGUAAGAAGGCAAAACCAAACCAAGAAGAUGUGUCCCAGCUAUUAGACCUCGAGUUUGAAGCCAGAAGAUCCUUCAUUGACUCAGACACCAUGAAAGAGGAGAACAGAGCUUGCCUCAUCUUGGAUGCAUAUCCAUGCUUUAAAGAAUUGCAUCAUGCGUUGGGUGAGCUUCGCAGAAUUUUGGAUCCCCACAACAACAAGUUCAUCAGUCAAGUAAAACUGAGAUGGGAAGAAUUCUGCUCCAGGGUAGAGUUCUACGGUGUGUCAAAGAAGGCAAUGAAUCCACCAAUGACCAUGGACAAAACUGAAGCCCACCUUGCACUGAUGAAGGCUCUUCCAACCCUCUUUCCCACACCUGCCCAUCCACCAAAGAAGAUGGGGAAUGCUUCUGAAGCAUUUCUACAUGUCCUGAAGCCUACAGAAGAUCCAGAUGCUGUCCUCCAGAAACGAAGCUUGUCAUGUCCAGUAGUGAUGUUCGAUGGCUGCAAGUGUGUCAUUGCUGUUGGUAAUUUACCAGUUACAACAUUUGACAAAGAAAAAAUUGGUGAGGCUAUGAUAUAUGUGAUGGCAUACUUUUAUGCACUCCAUCUGACUUACCACAAAUGCGUGGCAACCCUGCUGUCUGUCAUUCAGACAGAAGUUCUCCAGGAUGCCAUUCAUGAGCAUGACACUACAUCAUCUUACAGAAAAGCCCUGGCAGAAUGGCAUGCAUUUAUUGGAAAGUAGUGUGUAAAUUUCAGAUAAGAUUAGGAGAGGGCACUUCUGUUUUGUUUUUGUUUGUUUUUUCAAUCUGGGUCUUAUUUCUAAAAUGGAAAAUGUUCAUUUACUCACCCAGACAAGUUUUGUGGUAUUUGGUGUCAUUCGGAAGAAAUUUGAAUCUUUGUGGUCUUCCUAUGUCACUCGUCAAUUUUAAUGGGGCAAUGGCGAAACCUCUAAGGCUGUUGAAAUGUUGAAACCACUUAAACAAACUCAUAAUGUUGGACCUGUACUGUUCAAUUGUAUCUUUAUUAUCUGCAGGUUAUUGUUAAAGUGGACAAAUAAAGAUGGACACUUUUA
Astatotilapia calliptera (eastern happy) is the source of this 2522-nucleotide long non-coding RNA. The record is from Ensembl. NCBI's taxonomy places the organism in Eukaryota, Metazoa, Chordata, Actinopteri, Cichliformes, Cichlidae.